UGUUGUUCAGAACAGCCUGAAGAUGAAACAGAAACGGGACUGCCAGGCAGGUGGGAGCUGAUCUGCGACUGCGCGUGGCCCCCAGGACAGGCGACCAGUGACCAGUGGCUUCUUACCUCCAAGUCUCCAGUCUUGGCAGCCUCCUGGCCGGACUCCGCCUCCUCCGCAGACACCUCUACCUCCUCCCAGGGCUCACGCACCCAGCCUGAGCUUGUCUGAGCAGGCUGUCCCAGGUGGCUUCUGAUUCCAACCCCCACCCCCAGUAUCCGCAGUACUGAGACCCGAGAUACCACUCCUUCCAAGAAGUCCUCCAGACAUGGAUUCAUUCAACAAAGUCUGUAUCCUGUGCCGCUGUGGGCCACCCUGUGCUCUGAGAACCUUCCCUCACCUCCCCUACCCCAUGUGUCACCCAGAGCCCCCCCUUGGACUCCCCCUUACUUGGGACCCAUUCCCCAGUGUCAGAAUUCUUCCUUUCUUAUCUGUGUUCCCUGCCCUGUCACCAAAUCCAAGCCUCAGCCCAGGGCCUGGUGCAGAGAAAUUCUGGGUGACUGAUGGGUGACAGGAAAUGUGGGAAGACAAAAACGGAUGAUGAGCUGAUGGGAAAACGUACAGGGGAAGGACUCAGCCAUGCUUUUAACAUGUGCUUACCGACGACCUGUGGCACACCAGGCACUGUUCUAGAUGCUAGGGAUACAGCAGAGAACAGAACGCAAAAAUCUCUGACCUCUUAGAGCUGGAGGGGGAGAUAGAUAAUUAAUAAGCCAAUACGUGUGAAAUAUACCCGGUAAGAGCUAUGGAGCAAAGUAAAGCAAGCAGAGGAAGGAGAAGAGGACUUGGUUUCAGUUCUCUGUGAGCAGACUGGAUGUGACAAGGGAGGCAAACUACACGUUUGCAGUGAGGGCAUGCCAGGUGGCUGGGACAGCACAUACAGAAGCCCGGUGGUAGGUGGGCACUUGGUGUGCCUGAGGAACAAGGAGGAGGUGGGCAGAGCUGAACAAAAGAGUCAAGGUAGACAUGAGAGAAGGGAGGCGCAGGAAGGAUGGAUGGACAGAUGGACAGCAAGGGAAGGGGGUGGAGAACUCCAAUCUCAAGGAUGGGCCCUAUCUAUUGGCCACAGCUGAGACCCACUGGGGUUGCUGGUCCUGAUCGCCUCCAACCGCUGCUCCCCUCCCCGCCCCCCCCCGAGGGGGGGGCAAAUUGCCAAGUGCAAGACCGCCCCUGCUCCGCCCACGGGCAUGCAUGCCUGCUCCGCUCAGCCGGAAGCCCUGGGCCCCCUCUGCCCCCAUGGGCUGAGCACAGGUGACCCCAGAGAGACAAGUAGGCCUGCAGGAAGACAGUCUGACUCUUAAAGCCCCAGGGUUUCCCCAGGCCUUGAGAGCUGCGCCUGCCUGCCCAUGACCAGAGAUGCUGUACACCCUGAUAAGAACACCAGGGGAGUCCCAGUUUGUGACUGCUGGGCUCCCCACGCCCAGGCUCCAUCCUCCUCACCCCACUCUGCCCUCAGGGGCCUUGACAGUGAAAGAAUCCGGGAGCUCUACCCAGACGUGGAGGGGAGGCCUUGGCUCCACCCUCAUUCCCCGGUGCUCUGGGCUUAAAUUCACUGUGCCUUAGGUCGGCUCUUAAAUGAGGACAUCUGCCUUUGCCCUGCUUGCCUUCUAGAGGGAAAGGAAUGGGGUCAGCAACUGGCCCUGCCAGAGAAGCUAACUGUGGAGCAUUUGCGGGGCUGGGGGCUUGGUGUCCAGGAGCCCCCCUCCCCCACCAUCCAGGACUCCUCGCUUUACCCUAUGAGAAGGAGACCCUUAUUAAUGCAGGUUUUACAGGCAAAGGUGGGAGAUGGGGGAUUAGGAGUGUUACGUAACACAUCUGAGUCAUACCCAGGAGGUCUGAUCCAGGACUGGGACCUUUUCUCUGUCCUGGCCUCAGCCCAGCCUCCCUUUGCUCUCCCCGAGGCCCGCUCAGUGGGAAUUCUCAGGAAAUGCAGACUCCUUUAUCUGGACAGGAGGUAAGUGUGGGGGGGUGGGCACAAAAGGCUCCCAGCUCUGACCUCUGACACUCUUGUGGGACCAUAGGCUCAGGCUCCACACUCCCUUUCAGAACGAAUGCCGCCCACAAACGCAAGAAGUGAGCUCCCCAUCUCUGGGGGGAACUAAGGAGAAGCUCAGCAGGGGUGUCAUAGAGAAAAUACCUGCCACAUCUAUGGGGAAGACUAAUUGGUCUUUUUUUUUUUAAGAUUUUAUUUAUUUAUUUGACAGACAGAGAUCACAAGUAGGCAGAGAGGCAGGCAGAGAGCGAGGAGGAAGCAGGCUCCCCGCCGAGCAGAGAGCCCAAUGGGGGACUUGAUCCCAAGACCCUGAGAUCAUGACCUGAGCCGAAGGCAGAGGCUUAAUCCUCUGAGCCACCCAGGCGCCCCUUAAUUGGUCUUUAAAAUCAUUUUCCACUCACAGGUUAAUUCACAAGAGCCAUUUUGUACUACUUCGUGUUUUUGUUCAUUAACCUGAUAUUUACAGAGUAACUACCAGGGGCCAGGGUCUUAUGUUUAGAAAACACUCCUCACCGUGCUAGGAUGGGCUCCCCCUCUUCAGAAAAGAAGUGGAAAGACAGCCAACGGUGUUCCCGUUUCCCGUGAUGAGUUCAUCCUCUCUUGGCUACAUCUGGUGGUUGCUCUCCCUGCUUCAGCCUGUAUUAUCUGUUCACUUGCACCCUAUCUGGAGGUCAGUCUUGGGUCGCUCCCUGGCUGCAUGGUGCAGAGCAGACCAGAGCCCUUCUCUGAACCUCGACAUUCCCCGUCUGUGAAAUGGGGAUAAUAAAAGGACUCUUCCUACAGUGUUUUCAAAUGAAUGACAUGAGGAACCAGGGCAGAAACCACUCUGACAUGCUCUCUGCCCACCAAGACUCAUUUCACCAUCCCAGCAACUCUGAGGAGUGUGUCUGCCCCCAUUUGACAGGUGAGGAGACCGAGGGCAACCCAGAGAGUCAGAGCAAUUCAUGCAAGCCCUUGGGAAUCGAUGGCAUCAGGCUACAUCCUGAGCUUCUGGGACAUGUAGGACCCGUCCUGGCGCAGCCCUGUGGGGGCUUCUCCGGAUCUGCCCCAUGUCAAAUCGACUCGGGUCUACUUGGGGUUGGUAUUGGGGCAACUGAGUCAUCUCCUCCUGGGGCAUUUUCCGCCAGGCCUCCGCAUGUCUCCUCAGAGUCAGCACUCACAGUAUACAAACCAAACACAGGAAAUGGGUAUAAAUGAAAUGUCAAGGCCAUGUGAGCAGGGAGGUUGCGGGCUGAGAAAAGCACAGCUCAUGCUGGGCCUGACUCUGUGAGAAGCUUCAGGAGCAUCUAACCCCAGGGCAGAGCUGGCUUGCCCAUGGGUCUCUUCCCGGUACCAGGGGUCCUUCAUCUCUCCUGACCUCUCCACCCCCAUCUCCGCCUAGAGAAAUUUCACCCCCCAACCCCGCCAUGGUCCAUUUCAAAUGUCUUCUCCUCCAGGAAGCCCUCUUGGAGUUAUCCCAUUCUUACCUAUAGGAAGUCAGCCUCUGAACCUCUGAACCUUAAAAGCCCUGCAUUUUACCUACAAGAACACUAACAUCCAACUUUCUUGGUGUGUGUGCCAGGCCCUUUCCUAAAAACUGAAUGGGUUGACUUAUUUAAUCCCUGUAACAAUCCUAUUUAUUACAGAAGAGAGACUGAGGCCCAAUGAGAUUUAGUGACGCAUCCUAGAGCACAUUGCCAAUUAGUGUCAGAGUCAGGAUUUGUACCCACACUUCUGCUGGACUGUGAUCUAGCCCUGUGUUGUGCAGCUCCUCAAUACAUGUAUUGGAUCCAUUCAUUCAACAGACAUUUUCUAAGGGCUCACUAAGUGUCAGGUCUCACACUGGUUUUUGUGAACAGAAGAUAGACACCACCCCUGCCUUCAUGGAGCUUAUAGUUUGAUGGAAUAAGGGGUAAAAAAAAAAAAAAAAAAAAAAAAUCAAUGAAGUAAUUAAGUAAUUCAGUAGGUAUGAAGACAAAUAAUGACAUAUAAUGUAAGGACAAUGAAGAAAGCAAACCAAAAAAAAAAAAACAAAAAAAACAAAAACAAAAAACAAAAAAAACAAAGGGAAAAGAUGGUAUGCAACAGGGAAUCUGCUUUAGCCAGGUAAUCCAAGAAGGCUUCCUAGAGGGGGUGACAUUCGUAACAGGGUCCUGACAGAUAAAGAGGAGCCAGCCUUGGAAAGAGUGGGCCUGGGACACAAGGAACAGCAUAGGCAAAAGUAUGGAGAGGGCAAUGAGCUCAGAGUGCUGGGGAGACAGGCAGCCAGUGAGUGUGGCUGAAGCAGGGAGACAAGGGAGAUGAGGACAUAGACCAGUGCAGGGAUGGUGGUCUAAUCCCCAGCCCCGGGCAGUGGGAUGCCAUGUGUGGAUUUAAACAGGGGGAUGAGGGGCGCCUAGGUGGCUCAGUCAUUGAGCAUCUGCCUUCAGCUCAGGUCAUGAUCCCAGGAUCCUGGGAUCAAGCCCGGCAUCGGGCUCCCUGCUCAGUGGGAGGCCUCCUUCUCCCUCUCCCACUCCCCCUGCUUGUGUUCCUCUCUCACUGUGUCUAUCUCUCUCAGUCAAAUAAAUAAAUAUUUACAAAAAUAAAAUGAAAAUCAACACGGGGAUGAAGGGAUCAAUAUACAUUUCGAGGAGAACAGCUGAAGGACUAGACUCUGCCCUGAUUAGGUCAAGGCUAUCGGUCAAGGCUGGGUCAAGCUCCCUCUCCUGCACCCCAGGCCAGGCCUGGUCAGGAAUUCUGCUGCUAACACAGAGAGAAAGGUACAGGCACCAACCCUGCAGAUGUACCCUGGGGCAGAGCGUAGGGAGGCCCCCAUCCCAUUCAGGACUCUGGUCCACCCACAGAGCUGGAAGGCAAGCAACCGUCCGUCCGCCAGGCAGUCUGUCUGUCCAUCUACCCAUCAGCCCUUGGCAGCCUUGGAUCCAGAGCAGGUCUUCCACCAUCCUGGUGUCAAGCUGCUCACGCAGUGACUGUUGGCUCUCUUGAGUAUUGUUCAGGCACGAACGCCAAUCUUUCCCUUGACGCUACCGAGUCCGACAAAAGUGAAAUGACAAAGACAUGUGAGAACCUCCCUUACUCAUCAAGGACAUGAGUGAUUUUCUACAGAACUGGACAAUAGCCUUCAAGCCCUGGAAUCCUGGAUGACUCAAAUCCCGACUUUUGAUUGCACUGCUGGAGGGGACAACCACGUUUGGUCUUUGGUGCUAUUCACAAUACAGUGACCACAGGCACGACAUGCUGCCACGAGGGUACCUCGUGACCCUUCUCUCCGCCCCUGCCUGACAUCUCUCUGGACAACCAACAAAACAGUAGCUCUAGGCCUAAUGGGAAGCAUCUGCCAGUCUCCAUGGUGUAACACACUACGUGGUCAGCUUCGGGACGCAAGCAUCGACCACAGACUUGGGGCAGGUAGUGCGAUGGCUCACCGUGCUGCGGUGUUUCUGCCAUGUGAAUGCCAGAGGCAUUGGUAACUGUGGGAGCACAGAUGGUCCGUGCACCGGGGCCAUCAGAACACGGGACUACAGACCGGGUGGCGUCAACAACGGAACUGUAUUGUCCCAGGAUUCUGGAGGGUGGAAAUCCAAGAGUGAGGUCUCUGUAGGAUUGCUUCCCUCUGGGGGCCGUGAGGGGAAAUCUGUUGCACGCUCUCCCCUCGUUCUAGUGUUGGCAGUCUGGCAUUUUUUUGGCUUCUAGAAGCAUCUCCUUGAUUUCCAAAGUCUUCAUCUUCAGGUGGCAUUCGCCCUGUGUGUCAAUAACAUACGAUGUUACAUGGGUUUCAGGGAUACAACAUGUUGAUUCAACAGA
Molecule: long non-coding RNA, 5824 nt
Organism: Mustela lutreola (European mink)
Lineage: Eukaryota; Metazoa; Chordata; Mammalia; Carnivora; Mustelidae
Exons: 3
Source: RefSeq, a predicted model, not a curated record